This is a long non-coding RNA of Melospiza melodia melodia, 945 nucleotides long. RefSeq lists it as uncharacterized. Lineage: Eukaryota; Metazoa; Chordata; Aves; Passeriformes; Passerellidae. The transcript is spliced from 3 exons. The record is from RefSeq and is a predicted model, not a curated record.
CCGUCACCAAGCUGGGGUUUGUUUUUAGGCCUGUACCAGUAAAUCCCAGCUACAGUACCAGCAAAUGAACUGAGAAUUCAGCAGCUGACAAUGUAACUGUGGAACAGGAUCCCACUGCAGAGAACUCAGGAACUGGCUAGGAAUUAGACCUGCACUUCCUCCUUCUUUGACAUGACUAGCCUGGGAGGGGAAAAAAACCCAAACAAAUAAUUAUAUUUAACUUGCAAGAAGCAUUUUUCUCAUCAAGAUGGUGUUGACUGACUUCCUCGCUGCCAGUUUCUCAGUGGCUGGGGAGCAAAGGAAGCCCCUGCACCUGCCUCAAUAGAGCACAUUCCCUCAGCCUCUACUCAGUGGAAGCACAGCCUGUUACAGUCACAGGCAUUAAGACCCACUACUUGAAGGAGCAUCUUAUAGGCUGUUUCAAAGCACUGAUUCAACUCAGAAAGUCACUUCUGCCAUGGAGAAACUGACAGCCUACAGCAACAAAAGGAUAAGGAACAGCCACCAUCCAAGUUCCCACUGAAGUCAAGAGAGUUAAAGCUUGUCCGUUGAAUUAAACACAUACCUGCAUCCCGUUAAACUGAUUAUUUUGACACUAACCACGUUAUAAACACACACACACUUUACUGCAUGAUGUGUGAUUGUGGUCAGGACAUCAGAGGUCACUUAAGGUCAAAGAAACGUGCUUUAUAUGUAGCAUACAAAUGCCUAACAAUUUUAGACACUAAUCCAAGUUUUCUAAGCACGCAUAUUAGGUGAAUAAACUCAUUUCUAAAAUGUCAUUAAAGGUAAAUACAGGUAUCUACAUUUUACUCUUCCUCCUAGCAUUAUAUUCACAAAAUAAUCAAAACAUGUCUAAUCCAGAAUAUUAGAGAAUCUUACACAAUAAAGUACUAAGCAGAAGUUCUUUUCACAGAAUCAUCAGAAAUGUGCUCCUGACCUGUU